CCAAAUGACUCUCGGCAACGGAUAUCUCGGCUCUCGCAUCGAUGAAGAACGUAGCGAAAUGCGAUACUUGGUGUGAAUUGCAGAAUCCCGUGAACCAUCGAGUCUUUGAACGCAAGUUGCGCCCAAAGCCAUUAUGCCGAGGCACGCCUGCCUGGGUGUCGCA
RNAcentral lists this ribosomal RNA (163 nucleotides) under Cyathostegia mathewsii. RNAcentral describes it as "5.8S ribosomal RNA". It matches the Rfam family "5.8S ribosomal RNA". From Rfam's summary of the family: 5.8S ribosomal RNA (5.8S rRNA) is a component of the large subunit of the eukaryotic ribosome. It is transcribed by RNA polymerase I as part of the 45S precursor that also contains 18S and 28S rRNA. The record is from RNAcentral. Lineage: Eukaryota; Viridiplantae; Streptophyta; Magnoliopsida; Fabales; Fabaceae.